Molecule: ribosomal RNA, 370 nt
Filed under: uncultured cyanobacterium
Lineage: Bacteria; Bacillati; Cyanobacteriota
Description: bacterial SSU rRNA
Rfam family: Bacterial small subunit ribosomal RNA
Source: RNAcentral
CGAAAGCCUGACGGAGCAAGACCGCGUGGGGGAAGAAGGCUCUUGGGUUGUAAACCCCUUUUCUCUGGGAAGAAAGUUGUGAAAGCAGCCUGACGGUACCAGAGGAAUCAGCAUCGGCUAACUCCGUGCCAGCAGCCGCGGUAAGACGGAGGAUGCAAGCGUUAUCCGGAAUGAUUGGGCGUAAAGCGUCCGCAGGUGGUACAACAAGUCUAGUGUCAAAGACCGGGGCUCAACCCCGGAAAGGCGGUGGAAACUGUUGAACUAGAGGGUCGUAGGGGUAGAGGGAAUUCCUGGUGUAGCGGUGAAAUGCGUAGAGAUCAGGAAGAACAUCGGUGGCGAAGGCGCUUUGCUGGACCAUAACUGACACUCA